CAGUAGCCGCGGUAAAACGUAGGUGGCAAGCGUUGUCCGGAAUUAUUGGGCGUAAAGGGCUCGCAGGCGGUUUCUUAAGUCUGAUGUGAAAGCCCCCGGCUCAACCGGGGAGGGUCAUUGGAAACUGGGAAACUUGAGUGCAGAAGAGGAGAGUGGAAUUCCACGUGUAGCGGUGAAAUGCGUAGAGAUGCGGAGGAACACCAGUGGCGAAGGCGACUCUCUGGUCUGUAACUGACGCUGAGGAGCGAAAGCGUGGGGAGCGAACAGGAUUAGAUACCCCCGUAGUCCCUGUCUCUUAUAC
This 301-nucleotide ribosomal RNA is filed under the name uncultured bacterium. RNAcentral's name for it is "partial 16S ribosomal RNA". It matches the Rfam family "Bacterial small subunit ribosomal RNA", at positions 509 to 807 of the family's 1533-position model. The record is from RNAcentral.